GAUGAACGCUGGCGGCGUGCUUAACACAUGCAAGUCGAACGAUGAAGCCCAGCUUGCUGGGUGUAUUAGUGGCGAACGGGUGAGUAACACGUGAGUAACCUGCCCUUAACUCUGGGAUAAGCCUGGGAAACUGGGUCUAUUACCGGAUAGGAGCGCCUACCGCAUGGUGGGUGUUGGAAAGAUUUAUCGGUUUUGGAUGGACUCGCGGCCUAUCAGCUUGUUGGUGGGGUAAUGGCUCACCAAGGCGACGACGGGUAGCCGGCCUGAGAGGGUGACCGGCCACACUGGGACUGAGACACGGCCCAGACUCCUACGGGAGGCAGCAGUGGGGAAUAUUGCACAAUGGGCGAAAGCCUGAUGCAGCGACGCCGCGUGAGGGAUGACGGCCUUCGGGUUGUAAACCUCUUUCAGUAGGGAAGAAGCGAAAGUGACGGUACCUGAAGAAGAAGCACCGGCUAACUACGUG
This 466-nucleotide ribosomal RNA is filed under the name uncultured bacterium. RNAcentral describes it as "partial 16S ribosomal RNA". It matches the Rfam family "Bacterial small subunit ribosomal RNA", at positions 28 to 507 of the family's 1533-position model. The record is from RNAcentral.